Molecule: ribosomal RNA, 497 nt
Filed under: uncultured bacterium
Lineage: Bacteria
Description: partial 16S ribosomal RNA
Rfam family: Bacterial small subunit ribosomal RNA
Source: RNAcentral
GACGAACGCUGGCGGCGUGCCUAAUGCAUGCAAGUUGAGCGCUGAAGGUUGGUACUUGUACCGACUGGAUGAGCAGCGAACGGGUGAGUAACGCGUGGGGAAUCUGCCUUUGAGCGGGGGACAACAUUUGGAAACGAAUGCUAGUACCGCAUAAAAACUUUAAACACAAGUUUUAAGUUUGAAAGAUGCAAUUGCAUCACUCAAAGAUGAUCCCGCGUUGUAUUAGCUAGUUGGUGAGGUAAAGGCUCACCAAGGCGAUGAUACAUAGCCGACCUGAGAGGGUGAUCGGCCACAUUGGGACUGAGACACGGCCCAAACUCCUACGGGAGGCAGCAGUAGGGAAUCUUCGGCAAUGGACGAAAGUCUGACCGAGCAACGCCGCGUGAGUGAAGAAGGUUUUCGGAUCGUAAAACUCUGUUGGUAGAGAAGAACGUUGGUGAGAGUGGAAAGCUCAUCAAGUGACGGUAACUACCCAGAAAGGGACGGCUAACUACGUG